RNAcentral lists this ribosomal RNA (234 nucleotides) under uncultured Candidatus Saccharibacteria bacterium. RNAcentral's name for it is "partial 16S ribosomal RNA". It matches the Rfam family "Bacterial small subunit ribosomal RNA", at positions 584 to 818 of the family's 1533-position model. The record is from RNAcentral. Lineage: Bacteria; Candidatus Saccharimonadota.
UAAGCAGUGCGUGAAAUGAUGAGGCUCAACCUCAUGUCCAUGCGCUGAACUGCUAAGCUAGAGCAUGAUAGAGGUAGCUGGAAUUCCCUGUGUAGGAGUGAAAUCCGUAGAUAUAGGGAGGAACACCGAUGGCGUAGGCAGGCUACUGGAUCAUUGCUGACGCUCAGGCACGAAAGCGUGGGAGCGACCGGGAUUAGAUACCCCGUUAGUCCACGCCGUAAACGAUGGAUGCUA